CUGAGCGGCCGCCCCAAACCUGCCAGGGGCUCCCUCUCCCCUUCGGCCCCGAUUCCCCUUUCCCACUAGGGCUCCCCUCUGAUCACUGGCCCCCCUCACCCUAAGUCUGCAGCCACUAGGACCAGGGAGGGGUUGGGUUGCGGGGGUCCUCCUUCCUGCCCCUUGGCUCACCUCCCCCCAUCCACGCACCAGGAGCAGAGAGCCGGGAACUAAGAACAGGAGACCCAGAGAGGUGAUACCGGCCCCAAGCACCUGGGUCCUCAAGAAGAAUCACCGUUUCCGUGCCAGGAGGCUCUAAGGUGGGGAAACUGAGGCUGAGAAGGACGUUGACCAAGGUCACAGGGCAGGGACAGCAGGGCCUGGCCACAGCAGGCAUUCAGAAGACAUUGUGGCCCCAACCCCACACACACCGGAUCAGUUCUAGGGUUGGGACAGGGCCCAUCAGCCAAGCAGGUGGGUCCCAGAGGAGCUGGGAGACUUGGAGAGGGGGCUGCGCUACCCAGUGGAGCUGAGUCGCUCUAAUGAAGUGGACUAGCUGCAGGCCACAUUGAUUUCACGUCUCUGU
This 565-nucleotide long non-coding RNA is filed under the name Macaca mulatta (Rhesus monkey). Its description in RNAcentral is "lncRNA (ENSMMUG00000057016.1)". The record is from RNAcentral. Lineage: Eukaryota; Metazoa; Chordata; Mammalia; Primates; Cercopithecidae.